UACGUAGGGGGCAAGCGUUAUCCGGAUUUAUUGGGCGUAAAGCGUGUGUAGGCGGUUUAUUAAGUUUAAGAUCAAAGCCCGAGGCUCAACCUCGGUUCGUCUUAAAAACUGGUAAACUUGAGUAUGGUAGAGGCAAGUGGAAUUUCUAGUGUAGCGGUUAAAUGCGUAGAUAUUAGAAGGAACACCAGUGGCGAAGGCGGCUUGCUGGGCCAUUACUGACGCUGAGACACGAAAGCGUGGGGAGC
This 245-nucleotide ribosomal RNA is filed under the name uncultured Pseudomonadota bacterium. RNAcentral describes it as "uncultured proteobacterium partial 16S ribosomal RNA". It matches the Rfam family "Bacterial small subunit ribosomal RNA", at positions 524 to 769 of the family's 1533-position model. Lineage: Bacteria; Pseudomonadati; Pseudomonadota. The record is from RNAcentral.